CCUACGGGUGGCAGCAGUGGGGAAUAUUGCACAAUGGGCGCAAGCCUGAUGCAGCCAUGCCGCGUGUAUGAAGAAGGCCUUCGGGUUGUAAAGUACUUUCAGCGGGGAGGAAGGCGAUAAGGUUAAUAACCUUGUCGAUUGACGUUACCCGCAGAAGAAGCACCGGCUAACUCCGUGCCAGCAGCCGCGGUAAUACGGAGGGUGCAAGCGUUAAUCGGAAUUACUGGGCGUAAAGCGCACGCAGGCGGUCUGUCAAGUCGGAUGUGAAAUCCCCGGGCUCAACCUGGGAACUGCAUUCGAAACUGGCAGGCUGGAGUCUUGUAGAGGGGGGUAGAAUUCCAGGUGUAGCGGUGAAAUGCGUAGAGAUCUGGAGGAAUACCGGUGGCGAAGGCGGCCCCCUGGACAAAGACUGACGCUCAGGUGCGAAAGCGUGGGGAGCAAACAGGAUUAGAUACCCUAGUAGUC
Molecule: ribosomal RNA, 465 nt
Filed under: uncultured Enterobacter sp.
Lineage: Bacteria; Pseudomonadati; Pseudomonadota; Gammaproteobacteria; Enterobacterales; Enterobacteriaceae
Description: bacterial SSU rRNA
Rfam family: Bacterial small subunit ribosomal RNA
Source: RNAcentral